AGCUUUCUUUGCUUGACUACAAGCCACAAUUGAUUAAAACUCCCAAUCAAUUGCACCACCAACUCAACCCACUCCCAGCCAUACAAAAGUUGGCGGUGCAAGACAAUUUGAUUGUGGACAACAAGAAUAGUGUUCUAAGCCAGACCUUCGUUGAAUUUUCAUUACGAAUGCCUUGGACUUUUAAAUGCAACCGGGCGUAUGUAAAUAUUGGCAUUAGUGACAUGUGCAAAUGUUUGUAUGGCUGAUUCCCUGAGACCCUAACUUGUGACUUUUAAUACCAGUUUCACAAGUUUUGAUCUCCGGUAUUGGACGCAAACUUGCUGAUGUUAGUAAAAAAAAACGAAGGCAAAUCCAAAAGCUGACCGAGGGCGUAUUAUCGGAAGAAUUGCAAAUUUUUUUCAGAAGACAUAUGCAGUUCGGCUGGUUGUGGAAUCCCGGAGAAUAGCUUUCGGAUUCGACUGAACGAAGUUCCAGAAAAGAUCAUCUUGUACGUUGACAGCGCGAGCUUUACUUUAUUUCAGAAACUACACUAGAAUAUAAGUUAUUAAAACGUAAAAAGGCAAAUUCUUGAGUUCCAUGAAUGUUUUUAUUUUUACUCCAAUCUAGUACAAAAGAAAUAUACAAAUUUAAUUUAAUUUUUAAUUAACCCAUACUUAAUAAUAUUUUCGGUUAUUAUGCUCGUUACUCCUAGACCAAAAAGGUAUCUUUUAUUCGUCGGAAAGUAUGUAAUGUAUGUAUAUAGAUUCUUAAUUAGAAUCACUAGCCGAUUUGAAAAUUUGAACAUGUCCGUAGGUCUGUCCGUAUGAACACUGAGAUCUCAAAAUCCCAUAAACUAUAAACGCUAGAUAGUUGGCACUGAGCAAACAGAUUCUAUGGACUCGUAAGCAACGCAAGUUUGUUUCAUUGGGAUGUCACGCAAACUCUAACUUUGUCUGGCGCCCACAUUAUUAAAGAUUUUCUUUCAGUGUAAAUUGAAAUUGUUUUUAUUGAUCAAUACCUAUCUAAAUGCUGAAAAUUGUACCAAUCGCAUUGUUAUUUUAAAAGUUGGCAUGAUCAGUAGUACCGCUGCCGUCCGCUAUGUGCCGUGGCGCUGGCAUCGAUGUUUUUUCCGGCGCGCCAAUAGAAUUUUCCUGAAAUUUUAUUUUAUUUGAAAUUUAAAACAGAGUAAUGGGUAUCUGAUAGUUGAGGCACUCGAUUAUAUCGUUUCCUUUUGUUUUUAUUUUAUAUUUCCAAGUCGUUUUAUAAAUUAGUUAGUUUAUUUUCUUGCUUUAAAUAUAUUAAUUUCCUUUUAGUUUAUUUAGUAUUGUGAUUUUGUAAUUAUAUUGUUUAGCUUUAACCCUAUUCCCAGUCAAUGAAUUCCAUUUUAAAUAUUUAUCUAUAAAAAAUCUUUAUUGUAAACCCAAUGAUGUCGUCUACUAAAACCAUCACUGAAACCACACAGUAAUGUACAUGAUUUUGAUGUAUUUAAACUAUAAGCUACCUCUAAGAUCUAAAGAUACAAUGUGAGAAAGAUUUGAAUAAAUCGAUACAAGUUAUGAUUUUGAUCUGAACAAUUUCAUUGUCAAGAGAGUACAAAACAUA
Molecule: non-coding RNA, 1581 nt
Organism: Drosophila suzukii
Lineage: Eukaryota; Metazoa; Arthropoda; Insecta; Diptera; Drosophilidae
Source: RefSeq, a predicted model, not a curated record